This 370-nucleotide ribosomal RNA is filed under the name uncultured organism. RNAcentral's name for it is "bacterial SSU rRNA". It matches the Rfam family "Bacterial small subunit ribosomal RNA", at positions 526 to 896 of the family's 1533-position model. The record is from RNAcentral.
CGAAGGGGGCUAGCGUUGUUCGGAAUUACUGGGCGUAAAGCGCGCGCAGGCGGUUUUUCAAGUCAGUGGUGAAAGCCCGGAGCUCAACUCCGGAACUGCCAUUGAAACUGUAAAACUUGAGGAUGAGAGAGGUGAGUGGAAUUCCCAGUGUAGAGGUGAAAUUCGUAGAUAUUGGGAAGAACACCGGUGGCGAAGGCGGCUCACUGGCUCAUAUCUGACGCUCAGGCGCGACAGCGUGGGGAUCAAACAGGAUUAGAUACCCUGGUAGUCCACGCCGUAAACGAUGAAUGCUAGCCGUUGGGCAGCUUACUGUUCAGUGGCGCAGCUAACGCAUUAAGCAUUCCGCCUGGGGAGUACGGCCGCAAGGUUG